GACGAACGCUGGCGGCGUGCCUAAUACAUGCAAGUCGAACGCACGAAGUUGAAGAGCUUGCUCUUUAACCAAGUGAGUGGCGGACGGGUGAGUAACACGUGGGUAACCUGCCCAUUAGAGGGGGAUAACAUUCGGAAACGGAUGCUAAUACCGCAUAGUUUCAGGGAUCGCAUGAUUCUUGAGGGAAAGGUGGCUCCGGCUACCACUAAUGGAUGGACCCGCGGCGUAUUAGCUAGUUGGUGAGGUAAUGGCUCACCAAGGCAAUGAUACGUAGCCGACCUGAGAGGGUGAUCGGCCACACUGGGACUGAGACACGGCCCAGACUCCUACGGGAGGCAGCAGUAGGGAAUCUUCCGCAAUGGACGAAAGUCUGACGGAGCAACGCCGCGUGAGUGAAGAAGGUUUUCGGAUCGUAAAACUCUGUUGUUAAAGAAGAACAAGGAUGAGAGUAACUGCUCAUCCCCUGACGGUAUUUAACCAGAAAGCCACGGCUAACUACGUGCCAGCAGCCGCGGUAAUACGUAGGUGGCAAGCGUUGUCCGGAUUUAUUGGGCGUAAAGCGAGCGCAGGCGGUUCUUUAAGUCUGAUGUGAAAGCCCCCGGCUCAACCGGGGAGGGUCAUUGGAAACUGGAGAACUUGAGUGCAGAAGAGGAGAGUGGAAUUCCACGUGUAGCGGUGAAAUGCGUAGAUAUGUGGAGGAACACCAGUGGCGAAGGCGACUCUCUGGUCUGUAACUGACGCUGAGGCUCGAAAGCGUGGGGAGCAAACAGG
Molecule: ribosomal RNA, 771 nt
Filed under: uncultured Vagococcus sp.
Lineage: Bacteria; Bacillati; Bacillota; Bacilli; Lactobacillales; Enterococcaceae
Description: bacterial SSU rRNA
Rfam family: Bacterial small subunit ribosomal RNA
Source: RNAcentral